AAGAGGGAUUGCCCUAGUAACGGCGAAGUGAAGCGGCAACAGCUCAAAUUUGAAAUCUGGCUCUCGGGCCCGAGUUGUAAUUUGUAGAGGAUGCUUUUGAUGCGGUGCCUUCCGAGUUCCCUGGAACGGGACGCCAUAGAGGGUGAGAGCCCCGUCUGGUUGGAUGCCAAAUCUCUGUAAAGCUCCUUCGACGAGUCGAGUAGUUUGGGAAUGCUGCUCUAAAUGGGAGGUAUAUGUCUUCUAAAGCUAAAUACCGGCCAGAGACCGAUAGCGCACAAGUAGAGUGAUCGAAAGAUGAAAAGCACUUUGAAAAGAGAGUUAAAAAGUACGUGAAAUUGUUGAAAGGGAAGCGUUUAUGACCAGACUUGGGCUUGGAUAAUCAUCUGGGGUUCUCCCCAGUGCACUUUUCCAGUCCAGGCCAGCAUCAGUUUUCGCCGGGGGAUAAAGGCUUCGGGAAUGUGGCUCUCUCCGGGGAGUGUUAUAGCCCGUUGCGUAAUACCCUGGCGGGGACUGAGGUUCGCGCAUCUGCAAGGAUGCUGGCGUAAUGGUCAUCAACGACCCGUCGAAA
This 568-nucleotide ribosomal RNA is filed under the name Fusarium sp. AL-18 IRH-2012e. RNAcentral describes it as "eukaryotic LSU rRNA". It matches the Rfam family "Eukaryotic large subunit ribosomal RNA", at positions 67 to 659 of the family's 3401-position model. The record is from RNAcentral. Lineage: Eukaryota; Fungi; Ascomycota; Sordariomycetes; Hypocreales; Nectriaceae.